UGGGGGCUUCUAGCACAAAGCUGACACUAACACCUGGAAAGCUUCAAAAUCAACCAAAGACGUCCAAAGUUUGAAGGCUUUGAGGAAAAAACGAGACAGACUGAGCUCCAGACAGCUGGAAACCUCUGUGGUUAUUCCAGUAAACACAGUGGUCUUUUCUAAGAAUGAUUUACUUUGUAAAUUAAGUUGCUGAAAGCAAUAUGACUAUUAACAGAGGAAAAAUUUUGCUGAAGUACACCGAUCACUAUAGUCACAGGCUGCCACCCAUCUUUAAUGGUCCCAAUAUUUUUCUGGCCUCCAAAAUAUGUGUUGAUCAUAAUUAUUAACAGUCUGGUAUGAUGAGUAGCUUUGUUUGGAAUUGUGCAGAGCUCGUCUGUGCCAGUGUAGUGUACUGGUGUAGUGAAGGUUGGCCAGCAGAUGUCAUCAUGGAGACGGGUUUCAGAUUGUUUCAAAGCCUCAAUACAACUCUGGCACAAAUGCUUUGAGUGUUUCAGUGUUUCACAAAGUCUCACUUUGCCCAUCUAUAGGUUUGAUUUACCCCAUUAUAACUGCCCUAACACACAACAAACACAGGGGAUAUAACUACUGGCUGAUCAGUCCAGGACGUAAGCACAUAAGGUAAUAACAAAUACUAACAAAUUAUGUAACACCAAACAAAACAAAAUAACUGUUAAUUUAAUAACCUCUUCAAAUCAAUAAUACUGAACAACAAUGCCUAGUGUGAGUCUAUAUAUUAGUAAAAACUAAAACCUGUUUGUAGAUUCUGUGUUACCCAGAGAAUAGCUUUGUGCGCCAAUUCAAUUUUAAACAAUUUUCUUAAAGGCCACUUUACCUAACUCAAAGCAUUCAAAGGAGAUGUGCCAUGUACAUUAGCUGAACUGUAAAGACACAAGCAUGCAGAGAAUCUGACACUAACACCUCACACUAAAUUUGCUAAUGUACUAUGCAUACAUUAGAAUUCAGAGAAAAGUUUAACCUGCCAGUUAAAUGUUUUAACUUGUUUUCACUGAUCCCUUGUAAUAUGUGUUUGCACUUUUGUUUUUUAGUUGAAACCCAUUAUAUGUGAUGUCCUAUAUAUGCAUCGGUGUAGAGAAUUUGGGGGCCAACAAAAAUUAGGAGACAGCUAACAACAACAACAACAAGAAAACAGUUUCAACCAAGAGAGGUCUAGGUUCUGCACAGUAAGGAUAAAUUAUAUAUCCUUUCUGUGUGUAGAACAGUUCUGAAUUUGAGAAUAGGUUGUUGUUUGUUUGUUUGUUUGUUUUUUGCCUGUCCCAUUUGGUUCUUUAGCCAUCAGAAUUGUUGUCUGAAGACCAACAAGGAUACCCAAUGGAUUUACUUUGCCAAAUGGAUCUUCGUGGCAUUGCCGUAUUGGUCCAUUUGGUCGAUCUUUGUUUUUAUUAUUUAUUAUAUUUUAUUUUCAGAUGUUACAGACGGGACAGACAUGAGUGAGAGAUAGGAAAGGGAGAAAGAAAGAGGAAGGAAAGGAAAAACAGAAGGGGAGAGGGACAGUGAGAAAGGGGGGGAGAAAAAAAAUAAAAAUCUCCUGGAUCACCUGUUGAGAGAAGAAUAGAAAACAAGCAAAAAAAACAAAAAAAAAAACAAAGCAACAUACUAAACACAACACCAUCGCAUUAAUCUAGCUAAGUGUAAACAGCAGUAAAUACUAAAUAUUCAAUGUUGUUGUGCAGCACGCAGGACAGAUGUGCUUCGAAGUAGCAGCCAAGAAAGGUAUAAUUUAAGUCUACGAGCAGUGAACACCCGUGUGCAUACCUGUGUGGAUCAGCGCGCUUGUAUUCCAAAGGUUUCUCCAUGUAACGAUCUGCUAGGGAGUGUGGGGGGGCCACAGCCCCGUCCUCCAGGGUGUGAAGCAGGUAUGGAGGAGAUCAAAACUCCAGACAUCCAGAGGCCCCCAGAACACAAGAGACCAUAGAAGACCAACAGAGGGGCAGCCGCGCCACUGUCCCAGCAAGAGCUGAGGAGAGUCCCAGAUGAGGGCUCACUCAGCUGCCGCGGAGCAGAAGCCAGGGGGAGUUGCAGUGACGCGCCCGUGAGCUCCGCCGGCAGCCAGCUGUGCCUGAGUGACCGAGCCCGAGGCCGGGGGCACCCCACCUCCGAAGUGGCCCGAGCGAGCCCCAGGUCCCAGGCCCCGAUAAGCGGCCGCCAAGGAGUGAGCCGGUGUGUACCUGGACGCCCACCCCCAGACACAAAGAACCACCAACGCACCGACACCUGAGGGAGUCCGCCACCGGCAGGGGAAGUGGUGGUGGGUGGAGAUAGGCCUCCAAACCUUGGAGGGCCUGAGGUGUCCCCAGAGAGGUGGUGUCUGAUACCCAACCUGACAUAUAGACACAGACAUACAGGCACACACAGACACAAACAUCCAUUCCCACCCUCAUGCUCUCAUGUGCACUUACUCCACACUCAACCAACGUGGAGACAGACAUAAAGAGACGCUGUACACACGAUCACACUCCCCAAGCGUACUCUACAAACCGGGUGUUUGUUUGUUUUUGCAUUUUUAGCUUGUACCUUAAAAAGUCCAGUCAGCUUGUCAAUUGUUUUGAAUACCAAAACCUACAAAAAGUACCCUUGGAUUCAAAUGUACUAUUAUUUUAAAUGUUUAUAAAAAUAUAGUGAUGUUUUCAUCCUCAGUUUAAUAUUGAAUAAAAUCAGAUCUAAUAUCAAAUAUGUUGGACAUGAAAUAUUAUGUUUUCUAAAAAUUGUUAGGAAAAGGCCUUAAAUGUCUGAUGAUGUGGGGUGGCCAAAUACUCUGCAUUGCUGUAAAAGGUAGCAUAGCAAGGAUACAUGGUAAAUGAAGACGGUUUUCAUGAAUGAUGCAUGAUGAUACAUACUGUAUGACUUAAAAUCAUAGAAUCAUUAGAUUGCAUUAUUAACAGUACUGGGUGGCAGACUGCCCUUUAACUAUCACUGGUGCUGAUGGUGGUCCCCUUUGCUGCGUGUAUCUUUUGCGUUGGAAUGUGACUGGAGGCUUUUCUCCUUUUCUGCAUUACCCUGUGAUAGGUUUGUAGCUUAAACCCAUUCGCUGGAACGUUCAAGACAAUUCAACUACACAGCAAAAGCAAGACGCGAGUAGGCAAAGUUCUUUGUGUUAUUCAUGCAUGAGGGAGGCCUGCCUCGUUCCACCCACUUGACCUCCGUCAGCCUCUCAGCCAGGUUCCCUGUAGCACUCCUUUUAUUGUGGUCACAUGAAUAUGCAUAGGUUCACUAACAUAUGACGUUUCAUAUAGGUAUACAUGUGGACAAAGAAUACCUCGUCUUUGUGUGUGCAUGCCAGAGUGCUCUGGGAGGCACACAGAGUCUCCACAGACUACUAAGGAUCAACCCUCUACCAACAUGACAUUGAUUAUGCAACUCUAAGCAUGUAUGAGUAAAUAUUUCUAAGCAUAAAAAACAAACCACUAUAUAAACCUGACACCCUGGAAGCAAAAUGAAAACACUAACAAUAUUGAGAAUUAAAAGGUUUCCAUAUCACAUUGAGAAACAGAAUAUGUCUUUUGGACCCAUCAACGAUGCUGUUUACAUUUUGUACAGUGACAACUUUUUCAGUCUUUUUUUUUCUUUUUUUUAAUAAAUGUAGUUAUGUCAAAUGUUACUUUGCAACUGAUGAAAUGAGAAGUCUAGCUAACACCAUGUUUCUGUCUAGCUACCCCCUUCUGCCUACAUUGUACAGUUCCUUCAUGACUGAUGUGGCUCUUAUUAGAUUCUUGUUGUUUUUUUUUCCAUUUUAUGAUUAAAAAACCAGGAACAUACACUUCUUUCUCUGGUCUUCAUUUUACAUUGUGAAAGAUUUAAUUUGUAUAUGCAGAACACACUUCUG
Astatotilapia calliptera (eastern happy) is the source of this 3841-nucleotide long non-coding RNA. The record is from Ensembl. NCBI's taxonomy places the organism in Eukaryota, Metazoa, Chordata, Actinopteri, Cichliformes, Cichlidae.